UGGUGGGGUGACUUGUCUGCUUAAUUGCAAUAACGAACGAGACCUUAACCUGCUAAAUAGCCCGCAUUGCUCCGGCAGUGCGCUGGCUUCUUAGAGGGACUUUCGGCUCAAGCCGAAGGAAGUUUGAGGCAAUAACA
Molecule: ribosomal RNA, 137 nt
Filed under: uncultured eukaryote
Lineage: Eukaryota
Description: partial 18S ribosomal RNA
Rfam family: Eukaryotic small subunit ribosomal RNA
Source: RNAcentral